AAAGUGAGAAGACCAUUUGUAAGGGUUAUUCUUGGUGGUCAACUUGAUUACAUCUUGAAUUAACUAAAAUCCAAGUAGCUGGGUACACCUGUGUGGAAGUUUUCUUAAAUAAAUCAUUUAAAGUGGGAUCUAUUGAGGUAUAAAUGUCCGUCUUAAAUCUGGGCCACAGCUUCUGGUGGUAGCCUAUAUAGAAGACACUGAAGAAGGAAGUUUUUUCCUUAUCUGUUUGCCUUUAUUGUCACUGUCAAGGCAAUUCCUUCACUGGCCUUCGUACCUACUUCUGGAUUCUGGCACAUGCUAAAGGCCAUCAUUGCUGGAUUAGCUGGGGAAUAUUCGGCUUCUGGUUUCCCUCUCCUUCCUGAAUACACAUGUGUUUCGCCUGUGUCAUACAGAAUAUGUGAAGCAACAGGGUACUUUUAAUGGGCCGAGCUCCUUGAUCACUGGUGUACUCCAGCAUCUAUCUGAAUGCUGGCAUACAAGUCAAUCAGUUUUUAUUCCACCAUUAAUGCCUUCUUUGAUCAUUUUGCAAAUUGUUUCCAGAGAGAACAUUUACAAAUUCACAUGACUUUACUUCUUGGCUUACAAUCCUCAAAAGCCAUCCAUUAUGCUCAAAGUCAUGGCGCUUUGUACCUGUUAGCCCUACAGAGACAGAACCCUUAAAAUUCUUCAACAUUGUGCAAGUUUCUCUACACAGCCCAACCACCGUGGCCUCUGUGAUAACAUUGAGGACAUUCUCUUUCCAUCUAUGCAGUUAGUAUUCAUUGUGAAUAGACAAUGUUUCUUAAACUAGCAUGGUCCUGGGCCUUUACUUCAUGAAAGUAAUGCUCAAAAGUCAAUUGAUUGGAGCUUGGCUACUUGCUUAUUGUCAGAUAGGCACCUUUUUACUGUUUUUCUAAAUUUUUUGUCAGGAUUUAUUUUUCCCUCAGGAAGAUUACACUAGUAUGUAUUGUAUAGGUCACUGUGUAUGCUGGUGUUACUAACAUGAUUUAAUUUUUAUAUGGUAAGAUGUCAUUCUUUACUGAAGUAAAGUAGAUGGUGAAUAAAGCUUCAAAAAUAUUAUAUAAUCCUGGGAGACUUCUGGAUCAGAGAGGAUAGUGGUGGGGACACAGAGUAGGACUCUGGUGAUGUCUUAAAGUCUGAGGGUGUCUGGACAUUCUAGCUCUCUAACUGUACUGAGAUGCUGAUGAUAACUUCUAAAAAGUCCUAAAAACUUUCUUGCUCUUUCUGAGGGUAAAAGACUGCUUGCUGGCUUAGGUGAUUGAUACCUGUAGCCAAACAGCGGGAGAUUAAGUUCUAUCUCAGCAGGGAACUACACAGCUCUAACUUACAGCCUGCUAGUCAGAAGUUUCAGGAAGAAAAAGGGACACUUUGAAAAGUAAUUAUAGUGUUUAUUACUAAAUUGUAAAAAAAUUUCCUAUGAAAGCUAUCUAAGUGGAAAGAUCCUAAGCAAGGAAAGGGAAAAAUUCUUCUAAGUGGGGAAAGGGAAAAAAUUCUUCUCUAAGCAGAGAAAAGCAACAAAUUCUAGUAAGGGAAAAACUACUCUUGUAUCUCAUCCCUUUGUACUCAGUACUUGUACAUCUUUCAGAAAACAUGAUCACAUGCUACGAAGUUCAUUGCAAGUUCACAUAAAAAUAUCAAAUCAUAAAUUGAAAUAGAAGUUUACAACAGAGAAUGUUUACAUGCCCAUCUAUUAGGAAUAAUUAUCUGGCUAAACAUCCAUCACCUGUCACAACUCCCCAGGUUCACAGAAGGUUUAAAACCAUAACUAAGUUAUUAGUGAAGUUUUGUGUCACUAAAUCCAGUCAAUAGUUUAUCUUCUGUCCUAGUACCUUUAAUAAUUCCUUAGUUCCCUUUUUAUGACCUUUGGUUAAUCAUUUUACAACCUCUUGGAAUUUACUCAGAGUAGGAGAAAGUCUGGUUUCUAUCUAAGCAAUUCACUGGUGACACUUGGGAGAGUGGCAGAAUUCUCACUGCAGUUUUGACUAACAGAAAAAGACCUAAUAGAAGCCCCACUAUAAAAGAGCUUAAUAAUCAUUGAUACAAUUUUAGGAAUUCUUAUAGGAUUAUCAUUAUGACUUAAGAAGUCUUCUAUUUGUCUAUAUAGCAUCACUACAAGACAGUACAUCUCCGUAGAUCUGCAGAGAUCUGCUCUGAAGGGGGUGGGCUUAGUGAUUGUUAUGUAUGUUUAAUAAUAACAGGAAAAACAUAUUAAUAGCAGGAAUCUUCUCUAAGUGAAUUCUCCUAGGGCCUUACCUAUUAAGAGUGAACUUGUCACAGCCUAUAUAAUAAUCUGUAGCAGGCCAUCUCAGGAAGAUCACCUGCUGGUAAUUAGCUAGUCCCAUUAGGCUCCUGACAUCUCUUCCCUUUGAAUAAUAUACAUGGAGCAUAUAAUUCUCCCUUUGAGCAGAACUGACAGCAGAUCCUAACUGCUUGAAGAUGACUGGAAGAUAAAACAGAAGCAGAAUAACUAAUCCUAUAAUAAUUCCCAAAUUUAUAAGAAAACUCCAUAAAGAAUUAUCUUUAACAAAAUUUAUGAUCGAACUUGAAAAAUGAUCAGCCAAUUCUGCUGCCGAAGAACUCUUCAGUCUGGAGUGACUGGGGGCACUGAUCUGGGAAUGUAGGUAUCCAUAUCAACAGCAAGUUGGGAAUUGUUCCACACACCAUGUAGCUGUGCUUGUAUCUGUUUCUAGGACUUUUCUGACCCAUCGGAGAUAGAGGAGUGACACAAAUCUAUUUAUAAUUGGCAUAAUAUGAGGUAGUUAAACGUGUUUUAAUAUUUUGAACCUGAGUUCCUAUGCAAAAGAUGGCUUCCUCUAAAGCACUGAUUCUAUCUCUCAAACCUCUAUCAAUCCUAUCCUCAGUAAUCAGUGCUGAAGAAAUAAUUUCUAUUAAAGAAUUAUAUGAUUAGCAUUGUGUACCUGCUGGACUAGAGAAGCAGCAGAAGCUGCAACUGACCCUAAGAUAGCAAUUAAGAUUGUAAUGUCUAAGAUUACUUCAGCUAUAAAUUUCUUAUGUCAUGAAAGAGAUUAGCAGGCUGUAUCAAGGCAAGCAAAGCAGAAGCAUUACCUUAGGGAUGUGAGAAAGUAAUUGGUAACAAAACAUAAGGUAGCCAGUAUACAAUGAGAAAAAGCAGUAUGACACCUGGUGAAGUUAUACAAUUGGUCAAAUAGCAUUCUGGUCGGAAAUGAUACAUAUAGAUUUAUAUGUAACAAUUUUAUAUUCCCUUUUAUCUCCUGGGUAUAGGAUUAAAAGUCCAAUCAGAUGCUGUCAGGGACCAUGUCUUCAGUGUCUUCUUUUGCUGGGGUCUCUGGCAUGGGUGGAGAGUCUGCAGAUGAUGAUGACUGACCUGGACUUGAAGGAAGUGGCAGGUCACAAGAUGUCAACUCUUUCUACUGACAUCAGAAGAGCAAGACAGCAAAUGCAGAGGAUGAAUGUUCGGUUGAAUCAUGGUGGGCUCAAGCACUUAUUUGCAAUUAUUCAGGGGAUACAUGGGGAAGUCAUAUUACUCUUUGCCUUAGCCAGUGUGCUCAAGGCAAGAUGAUGCUAUCAAAUGAUGGCUAGCAUUUGUACUUGCAUAGAGCCUAAAUGAAGAAUAUCCAAAGCCAGAGGGAAGACCCACCAGAUCGCUGUAGUUAAAUUAUACCACUUAACAAUAUUUGUUCAUAUCCAGAAGUAUCAAAACAAACACAUAUAAAAGACAAACAAACUGGAUGAACAAUGCUGGCCCAGCAAGGCUUCCCAAGCCUUAUUUCCUCAUGAGCCACUGUUUUGACAUCAGACGCAUGACCUAAAUUCUGCCAUCACAUGGAGCCCUGUAGAAAACCAAAUAUAUAAACUCAGACAAGAUCAAAUAAAAACAUGGUCGUGCACUCUGUUAACUCAUGGAAGCAUCCGACAGAGGUUGAACUACAACCAGAGUUUGUUUUCUUUCAACAAAAGCCGAAAGAAGCGUAGACCGACAAGACAAAGUUCUCUUGCCUUUCUUCCUCUGCGUCCCCAAAUCAAAAACCAUAAAGGUGAGACUUUAACCCUUCAAGAGGCUGCCAUUAUGUUAUUCCUGGAUGCAACCUUGUUAAUCUACCUAUGUGGCUCUCCUGUGCAGUAAGCUUAAUUUUUAUUUUCACAGCUAGACUGCACACAUUCUGUCUGGGACAGAAAUAUGAUUUCAAUUACAUUAAUGAUAUUAUACCUCUCUCAUGAAACAAAAGUGGGCAAAACUCUGACCUCUAUUUCUUUUCUGUGAGUUAUGGAUGCUUUUAUUAGAAUGGGAUCAUGUGGUUAUAGAUAUGUAUCUUCCUUUUUACCAGGCUAUUUCAUUAGACUUUGAGAUGAACCUCUGCACUUGUAGGAGUAGGGAACAAUGUGGGUUGCUCAAAUUCACAAUACAGAGGUUUGUAAUGUAAAUUUACAAGUGACCCAUGCCUCACAAAAAUGGGUAUAUAGAUCCUCAGCAGGGUACCUCUAUAAAUAAAAUAUAUCCAGUCUCCAGCACAAAUAUGAGACACUACACUAACUGCUUGCAACUCAGUUUGAAAGUUCUCACCUUACCAAGAAUAAAAACAACUCAGCUUCAUAGAAAGGGCAUGGAUAUUAAAAUGGUAGGACAGUGAAAUAUUUCAAUCCUAUUAUUAUAAAAAUAGUUCAAAUGGUGGGAAAUCUUGAGAGAAAUGAAAGAUACAGUGAGGAAUCAAGUAGGCAAGGUGCAUAUGACCCUGCAGAGACUGAAGCACAAAGUACAGUACCUACAUGAGUCUGUACCAGGUCCUUUGCAUACGUAUUAUGGCUUUUAGGUUAGUACUUUUAUAGGAAUCCUUAAGUGUGAGAAUAAGUGGGCUUCUGACUCCUGUGCCAGCUCUGGUGAAUCUUUUCAUCCUGAUAAGUUGCCAUGUCCAACUUUGGUAUGAUAGACUUUGUUUCAUUUUAUUAUAUUUUAUUUUGCCAGUCCGUUUGUCAUCUCUUAAAAGCCUGUUUUUUCCAACAAGAAACCAAAAGAGUACAUCUGGAGUGGAGUGGGUGACUGGAAGGAAUAGAGGGAAGAGAAACUGUAAUGAGGAUAUAUUGUAUGAGAAAAUAAUCUAUUUUCAAGGAAAGGAAGAAAAUAAAGACACAGAAAGAAACCAAA
Molecule: non-coding RNA, 5122 nt
Organism: Rattus norvegicus (Norway rat)
Lineage: Eukaryota; Metazoa; Chordata; Mammalia; Rodentia; Muridae
Source: RefSeq, a predicted model, not a curated record